This is a long non-coding RNA of Cyprinus carpio (common carp), 1505 nucleotides long. The record is from Ensembl. Lineage: Eukaryota; Metazoa; Chordata; Actinopteri; Cypriniformes; Cyprinidae.
UGCGUAUGUGUGUUCUGCUGGAGAAAGAAAGUCAUAGAGCCUGGAAUGACAUGAGGGCUAUUUUCCCAAAACUAUUUUUUUUAUCAACUUGUCUCAAAUGUUAAAUAAAUAAAUAAGAGACAAUUAUCAGCAUACUUUAAAAGUAUAUACUUAUUAAUGUCAAUGAGAUAGCUUGGAUAAUUUGCUUUUGGAGGAAUAUGUUGAGAAAUUUUUGGGGCGGGCUUAAGUUAAAAUAUUUCGAGCCACCUCUAAGGGAGACAUAUGUGAAUUUACUGGGUUCUUACUUAGAAGCAGCAUUUGUCAGGCAGUUUAGCUCAUUGUUGAGGAAAAGGGAGAGAAACAUCAAAGAGAUUUCAUUUGUAUCUUUUCUUUCAAAUGGGUUUCCCUGAAUCAUUGCCUACAAUAUCUGUCUCUCAUUCUGCGUGACCACUAUGCAUCCAAACAGACAAACCUUAUCUUGUGGAGCACUGGAGACAGCCUAAUGCUUAUAGCACACACUCUUUCCUCCCCUUUCCUCUUUCCCAUCCUCAAACAGGUUGACUAGACCAGUCUUCACUCACCCACACCACUGUCAGGCUUUGGUCUGGUCCACUGCAGCAUCUGCAGUCAGCCCAGCACAACCUCCAGCGCAUGGACGCUUCAUUUGAUGGCUUGAAGAGAAACCCAUCCCUCAGAGAGGAGUCUUCACAUGGUACAUCAGUGGAGAAGAGCCGGGUGCUGUCUGCGAGGGAGAAGUACGGAAAUGGCUUCUCAUCAAUCACCAUCUGAGAGAGGCAUGGCAGGAGAGGAGGUCUCAGGGGAGCCAAGGGAAGAAGCAAGCAGUCAGGCAGCUGUCUACACUGGCUGCAGAAUGUAGACCCAGACUCGAGCGACGUGUCUCUUGUGUGUAUACGGUACGCAGAUGUAGAGGUAGAUGCGCUUGUGUGCCUUCAAGAGAAGACGGUAGAUGGAAAUGGACAGAACAGGCAAGUCAAGGUAUUCCUGAGUCAUAAAAGCCCUCUGUCCCAGCCUGUGCACAGCAAAUCCUCUCAAACUGUCCACAACAACCUCCAUCUUGGCUCAGUUUCCAGGAUUCUCUUGCAAACUAGCCUAGAGCUGUGUGAAACAGGCACUGUAUUCCUCUGGCCCAGACUAAAAAGAUGUGUCCACAUCAGCUGGUCCAAUUCUGUCUUGCAGACGUCGAAAAAAACACCCCCAGCGAGCCACUCUGCCAGGACCAGCACAUAUAACUGGGGUAAACACAAAGCUUUGACAGAAGGGAGCUUAAAAAGCCCAUACAAGAUAAAGAGACACAUUUUUAAGAUUGUAAGAUGUUUUAGGUGCUGCUGACCACCUCCUUGUUUUCUACCUUGGAACCGGGGCUUCCAAAAUUUCCAUCAAAGGAAUCAGGGCUUUUACUGUGCUGCACACUGCUGCUCCAAGAUCUUUCAUGGUGAGCAAUUUCCAUGUUUGAAAAAUCACUCCAGGGUCUGUUUCAAUAAAUAUAUGUGAAAAUGGAUCUGACA